RNAcentral lists this ribosomal RNA (450 nucleotides) under uncultured bacterium. RNAcentral describes it as "partial 16S ribosomal RNA". It matches the Rfam family "Bacterial small subunit ribosomal RNA", at positions 354 to 796 of the family's 1533-position model. The record is from RNAcentral.
GUGGGGAAUCUUCCGCAAUGGGCGAAAGUCUGACGGAGCAACGCCGCGUGAGUGAUGAAGGUCUUCGGAUUGUAAAGCUCUGUUAAUCGGGACGAAAGAGCCUAGUGUGAAUAAUGCUAGGAAGUGACGGUACCGGAAUAGAAAGCCACGGCUAACUACGUGCCAGCAGCCGCGGUAAUACGUAGGUGGCAAGCGUUGUCCGGAAUUAUUGGGCGUAAAGCGCGCGCAGGCGGAUCUGCCAGUCUGUCUUAAAAGUUCGGGGCUUAACCCCGUGAUGGGAUGGAAACUACAGAUCUAGAGUAUCGGAGAGGAAAGUGGAAUUCCUAGUGUAGCGGUGAAAUGCGUAGAGAUUAGGAAGAACACCAGUGGCGAAGGCGACUUUCUGGACGAAAACUGACGCUGAGGCGCGAAAGCCAGGGGAGCGAACGGGAUUAGAUACCCUUGUAGUCC